This is a non-coding RNA of Schistosoma curassoni, 45 nucleotides long. The record is from Rfam. Lineage: Eukaryota; Metazoa; Platyhelminthes; Trematoda; Strigeidida; Schistosomatidae.
AUUCAGCUGACGAGUCCUAAAUAAGAUGAAACUUGCGUCCUGGAU